Molecule: long non-coding RNA, 594 nt
Filed under: Sorghum bicolor (sorghum)
Lineage: Eukaryota; Viridiplantae; Streptophyta; Magnoliopsida; Poales; Poaceae
Description: long non-coding RNA (SBIC_LNC008825)
Source: RNAcentral
CAUGAACCUCGCUAGAUGCCUAUACUAAGAACUUGAAGAACUAGAGCUCUACUUCUAAUCUCUAGAAACCCUAACUUUUGACUACUCUUGACAAAUGAAGCAAGAGGAAUGAAUUGAAUCUAUGGGUCCCUCUGGAAGGGGGUCUGCCCCUCUAUUUAUAGCCUGGUGGAGUGCACACACGCUGUUGGAUCAAACCGACUUAACAAGCGGCCGAGAUGACUCCUCAAAGGUGGUGGAGGAAGCUUCUAGAAGGGGAGGCCAAACCCUAACCACAGGGGGCCGGGCGGCGCCAGGGUGGGACCGGCUGGCCCCACCUAGUGGUCUCUGUCAAUAUUUGGUAACGCAAUCAGAAUUAAUCCGCAAGCGCACGGAUAUCGGUGAGCACUUCACCCGGGAUGUUAUCUAGAGUAUCAUAUUUAUAUUUUUACCACUAGGAGAAAGAGUGCAUCUGACUAACCCGGUCUAUUACUACUAACCUUUAGGCUACAAAGAAUGUGAUUCAAUGUGAGUGAUGUAUAGAGAAUACUACAACUGCACUCUCGUUCUAACCUUGAUAAGGAUGAGCUACUAUUCUGUUGGGGAAGCUCACGGCUG